RNAcentral lists this long non-coding RNA (2271 nucleotides) under Malus domestica (apple). Its description in RNAcentral is "long non-coding RNA (MDOM_LNC007406)". Lineage: Eukaryota; Viridiplantae; Streptophyta; Magnoliopsida; Rosales; Rosaceae. The record is from RNAcentral.
CUUAUGUUAUGAUUGUGUUGGAUAUGUUAAAAUUUAAAAUUUCAAUGUUUUUCAUUUUUUGAAAAAAAAAAAAAACCGAAACAGAACCGGAAAAAACCGAACCGAAAAAAAACCGAACCGAAAAAAACUGAAAUUUCGGUUUGGUUUCAGUUUUGGCAAAAAACCGAACCGAUUUAAACCGAACCCACCCUUAAUUACAAGUAAACUCACAUUGUACAAGUGUUAAGCUUCAGCAGUUCGGCAUCCUUUGUAACGAAUACCAUUUGGCAUGAAUUCAAUAAAGAGGUGAUUUAGACAACUCAGUCCUGAUCCUCUUACAUUCCUAGCAAUGAAACACUUGGGUUCAAAGCUUUAACAUGAAUGCUUCCAACAUGAAACAAAGUCUAAGUAUAUGUCAACAAGACUAUACAAAUAAACAAACAGCUUCACAGUAUAUUCGUUCAAUCAUACAUUCCAACACAUUCAUAUAUAAGCUAACUGUGCUUCGAAAGGGUUCAACAUACUUUGUAUUAUUCGACACUUGCUACAAUGUGCCUCAGCACCUUGCCUUUAUUCUCACCAACUAGGUGAUGAAGGAACUUACCUUCGUGUCACCAACCAGGUGAUGAAAUGUACAACCCGUACUCUAAUAUUAUUUGGCAACUUGCCACUCUUAUCACCAACCAGGUGAAGAAGGAACUCACUUUGAUGCCACCAACUAGGUGAUGAAAUGUACAACCCAUACUCUAAUAUUAUUUGGUAACUUCCUAUUCUUAUCACCAACUAGGUGAAGAAGGAAUUGAUCUUCGUGCCACCAACCAGGUGAUGAAAUGUGAUGAAGGAACUCACCUUCGUACCACCAACCAGAUUAUGAAAGCAACUCACCAUUCAUUCCACCAAUUAGAAGACGAGUGGUACAACUUGUACAUGUGAACUCCUAGCAUUCACAAAUAAUAAAAAACCCUCAAGCUUUACAACUCAACUAGGGGAGCACUUAUGCCCAACAAUAGUUAUAGUCACCAACAAGAGCUUCAUCAAAGGAGUUCAACAACAAUUCUCAAAAGCUUCAUACACUCUUGAUCAAGACAGUGUGAAGCAAAACCAAUUUAUGGUGCCAACAAAAGCUUCAUCAAUGGAUGGCAACUACAAUUCUCAAAAGCCUCACACACUCUUGAUCAAGACAGUGUGAAGCAAAACCAAUUUAUGGUGCCAACAAAAGUUUAAUCAAAGGAGUUCAACCACAAUUCUCAAAAACUUCACACGUUCUUGAUCAAGACAGUGUGAAGCAAAACCAAUUUAUGAUGUCAACAAAAGCUUCAUUAAUAGCGGGCAAUUACAAUUCUCAAAAGCUUCACACACUCUUGAUCAAGACAAUGUGAAGCAAAACCAAUUUAUGGUGCCACCAAAAGCUUCAACUCCAAAGCUUCACCUAUAAAAACUUCAACUCCAAAGCUUCACUUACAAAGCUUUAACACAAAAGCUUCACCUACAAAGCUUCAAUUCCAAAGCUUCACCUACAAAGCUUCAACUCCAAAGCUUCACCUAUAAAAACUUCAACUCCAAAGCUUCACUUACAAAGCUUUAACACAAAAGCUUCACCUACAAAGCUUCAAUUCCAAAGCUUCACCUACAAAGCUUAAACUCCAAAGCUUCAACACAAAAGCUUCACCUACAAAGCUUCAACUCCAAAGCUUCACCUACAAAGCUUCAACACAAAAGCUUCACCUACAAAGCUUCAACUCCAAAGCUUCAUCUACAAAAACUUCAACUCCAAAGCUUCACCUACAAAAGCUUCAACUCCAAAGCUUCACCUACAAAGCUUCAACACAAAAGCUUCACCUACAAAGCUUCUACUCCAAAGCUUCAACUCCAAAGCUUCACCUACAAAAGCUUCACCUACAAAAGCUUCACCUACAAAGCUUCAACAUAAAAGCUUCACCUACAAAGCUUCAACUCCAAAGCUUCACCUACAAAAGCUUCAACUCCAAAGCUUCACCUACAAAGCUUCAACACAAAGGCUUCACCUACAAAAGCUUCAACACAAAAGCUUCACCUACAAAGCUUCAACACAAAGGCUUCACCUACAAAAGCUUCAACACAAAAGCUUCACCUACAAAAGCUUCCACUCCAAAGCUUCACCUACAAAGCUUCAACACAAAAGCUUCACCUACAAAGCUUCAACUCUAAAGCUUAACCUACAAAAGCUUCAACUCCAAAGCUUCAACACAAAAGCUUCACCUACAAAGCUUCAACACAAAAGCUUCACCUACAAAGCUUCAACUACAAAUGCCA